UACGUAGGUGGCAAGCGUUGUCCGGAUUUAUUGGGUUUAAAGGGUGCGUAGGCGGUCUAUUAAGUCAGUGCUGAAAUAUCCCGGCUUAACCGGGAGGGUGACAUUGAUACUGAUGGACUUGAGUAAAGUUGAGGUUGGCGGAAUUGACGGUGUAGCGGUGAAAUGCUUAGAUAUCGUCAAGAACACCUAUUGCGAAGGCAGCUAACUAAGCUUAAACUGACGCUGAGGCACGAAAGUGUGGGGAUCAAACAGG
RNAcentral lists this ribosomal RNA (253 nucleotides) under uncultured bacterium. RNAcentral's name for it is "partial 16S ribosomal RNA". It matches the Rfam family "Bacterial small subunit ribosomal RNA", at positions 524 to 776 of the family's 1533-position model. The record is from RNAcentral.